Molecule: small nucleolar RNA, 192 nt
Filed under: Maudiozyma saulgeensis
Lineage: Eukaryota; Fungi; Ascomycota; Saccharomycetes; Saccharomycetales; Saccharomycetaceae
Source: RNAcentral
ACCAUAUUACAUUUACAUUUAAGAACGAGUAUUAUUGUAGUAGAUUUGUGACGAAAUAUUUCUAUUUUACCUCCAGGCAAUUCUUACUCUACAACUCAGUUCGAGAUCGAUACACACAUAUGUGCAUAUUGACUCUUUAAGCAUGGCGAUAGAUUUUUUUACUUAGCUGUGCUCCAGACGUCUCAAACAUUC